RNAcentral lists this ribosomal RNA (497 nucleotides) under uncultured bacterium. RNAcentral's name for it is "partial 16S ribosomal RNA". It matches the Rfam family "Bacterial small subunit ribosomal RNA", at positions 28 to 507 of the family's 1533-position model. The record is from RNAcentral.
GACGAACGCUGGCGGCGUGCCUAAUACAUGCAAGUAGAACGCUGAAGCGAGGAGCUUGCUCUUCUUGGAUGAGUUGCGAACGGGUGAGUAACGCGUAGGUAACCUGCCUUGUAGCGGGGGAUAACUAUUGGAAACGAUAGCUAAUACCGCAUAACAAUGGAUGACACAUGUCAUUUAUUUGAAAGGGGCAAUUGCUCCACUACAAGAUGGACCUGCGUUGUAUUAGCUAGUAGGUGAGGUAAUGGCUCACCUAGGCGACGAUACAUAGCCGACCUGAGAGGGUGGUCGGCCACACUGGGACGGAGACACGGCCCAGACUCCUACGGGAGGCAGCAGUAGGGAAUCGUCGGCAAUGGGGGCAACCCUGACCGAGCAACGCCGCGUGAGUGAAGAAGGGUUUCGGAUCGUAAAGCUCUGUUGUAAGUCAAGAACGGGUGUGAGAGUGGAAAGUUCACACUGUGACGGUAGCUGACCAGAAAGGGACGGCUAACUACGUG